GCAUUGUAAUAUCGACAAGAAUAAAUGUUUCUAUUCAAAAACAGUAAUUUGUAAUGCGCACGCGUGCACCGAAUUGGUAAAACAUUUGAAAUUAUCGCUAUUGCAUUUCAGUACUCCCUUUCAACUCUCGAAAACAUAAUUCAAAUUCAAGGUCAUUCGAGAGAAAUAUUCACCAUUACUUACUAAAGUCAACACACUGUAUAUUACUAUAGUGUCUACGAAAUUCCGAUGUUAGACCACAAAACGUCAAUAGUUGGCUAAUACAAAUUUAGUUACCGCAAUAUUAUUAUGACGCAAACGAAUUGUUUGAAAAAAAAAAAAUGUAUCGAAAAGUUAUUCUGUGACCAAUAUAACGAC
Molecule: non-coding RNA, 357 nt
Organism: Cinara cedri
Lineage: Eukaryota; Metazoa; Arthropoda; Insecta; Hemiptera; Aphididae
Source: the annotation of a GenBank genome assembly